This is a non-coding RNA of Pelobates cultripes (western spadefoot toad), 225 nucleotides long. NCBI's taxonomy places the organism in Eukaryota, Metazoa, Chordata, Amphibia, Anura, Pelobatidae. The record is from the annotation of a GenBank genome assembly.
UGUAAUUUUAAUGGAUAUAAUAAGCGUAUACAAAAGAUUUUAAAUAAACAUUGGCACUUACUAAAAGUUGAUCCCAUUUUACAUAGUAUUCUACCUUCGAAACCCAGAAUUAUAUACAGAGGAGCAAACAAUUUUAAAAAUAUACUAGUUAAAAGCCAUUUAAACCCUACCAAACCUAAACAUUUUAUUCAGGAUCUUAAAGGAUUCUAUGGCUGUGGUAUGUGU